GACCACCUACGGGAGGCAGCAGUAGGGAAUCUUCCGCAAUGGACGAAAGUCUGACGGAGCAACGCCGCGUGAGUGAUGAAGGCUUUCGGGUCGUAAAACUCUGUUGUUAGGGAAGAACAAGUGCUAGUUGAAUAAGCUGGCACCUUGACGGUACCUAACCAGAAAGCCACGGCUAACUACGUGCCAGCAGCCGCGGUAAUAGGGUC
This 206-nucleotide ribosomal RNA is filed under the name uncultured Bacillus sp. Its description in RNAcentral is "partial 16S ribosomal RNA". It matches the Rfam family "Bacterial small subunit ribosomal RNA", at positions 333 to 533 of the family's 1533-position model. The record is from RNAcentral. Lineage: Bacteria; Bacillati; Bacillota; Bacilli; Caryophanales; Bacillaceae.